CAAGGUAUGCCAAUCGCAGGCGUGGGUGUUAAUUCAUAUGAGUAUAAUCCUUCUCUUGGUGGUGUUUCAUAUCAACCAAUUGUUCCAUAUCAACAAG
Molecule: long non-coding RNA, 97 nt
Organism: Adelges cooleyi (spruce gall adelgid)
Lineage: Eukaryota; Metazoa; Arthropoda; Insecta; Hemiptera; Adelgidae
Exons: 3
Source: RefSeq, a predicted model, not a curated record